This 254-nucleotide ribosomal RNA is filed under the name uncultured bacterium. RNAcentral describes it as "partial 16S ribosomal RNA". It matches the Rfam family "Bacterial small subunit ribosomal RNA", at positions 524 to 776 of the family's 1533-position model. The record is from RNAcentral.
UACGUAGGGGCCUAGCGUUGUCCGGAUUUAUUGGGCGUAAAGAGCUCGUAGGCGGUUUGGUGAGUCGGGUGUGAAAUCUCCACGCUCAACGUGGAGGAGCCACCCGAUACUGCCAUGACUAGAGUCCGGUAGGGGAGUGUGGAAUUCCCGGUGUAGCGGUGAAAUGCGCAGAUAUCGGGAGGAACACCAGUGGCGAAGGCGGCUUUCUGGGCCUUACCUGACGCUGAGACGCGAAAGCGUGGGGAGCGAACCGG